UUUUUAAACAUGGUUUUUUGUUUAUAUAAAAAAUUCUGGCCUGCUCAGUGAAUUUUAAAUAGCUGCAGUAUUUUGACUGUACAAAGGUAGCAUAAUCACUUGUCUUUUAAUUGAGGUCUGGAAUGAAUGGUUUGAUGAGAGAUAUACUUUAUUUAUUUUUUAAAAAAAAUUUAAUUUUUAAGUUAAAAAGCUUGGAAAUUUUUUUAUAGGACGAGAAGACCCUAUAGAGCUUUAUUUAUUUAUUUUUAUAUUUUUUUGGAUUAUAUAUUUUUAAUAUGAUUAUAUAAAUUUUGUUGGGGUGAUAAAAAAAAUAUUAUAACUUUUUUUAAUUUUUACAUUAAUUUAUGUAUAUUUGAUCCUUUAUUUUGGAAAAAAGAAUAAGCUACCUUAGGGAUAACAGCGUUAUUAUUUCGGAGAGUUCUUAUUGAUGAAAUAGUUUGCGACCUCGAUGUUGGAUUAAAAUAAGAUAUAGAAGUAGAAUGUUAUAUUCUUGGUCUGUUCGACCUUUAAAUUUUUACAUGAUC
This 524-nucleotide ribosomal RNA is filed under the name Orthotylinae gen. ZANCGEN7 sp. Msp398. Its description in RNAcentral is "partial large subunit ribosomal RNA". The stretch from base 393 to 524 matches the Rfam family "Archaeal large subunit ribosomal RNA", at positions 2542 to 2674 of the family's 2987-position model. Lineage: Eukaryota; Metazoa; Arthropoda; Insecta; Hemiptera; Miridae. The record is from RNAcentral.